RNAcentral lists this ribosomal RNA (403 nucleotides) under uncultured bacterium. Its description in RNAcentral is "partial 16S ribosomal RNA". It matches the Rfam family "Bacterial small subunit ribosomal RNA", at positions 28 to 526 of the family's 1533-position model. The record is from RNAcentral.
GACGAACGCUGGCGGCGUGCCUAAUACAUGCAAGUCGAACGCAGUGGGGACGGGUGAGUAACACGUGGGUAACCUCCCAUCAGAGGGGAUAACACUUGGAAACAGGUGCUAAACCGAUACUGAUUGAUGGACCCGGGGUGCAUUAGCUCGUUGGUGAGGUAACGGCUCACCAAGGCCACGAUGCAUAGCCGACCUGAGAGGGUGACCGGCCACACUGGGACUGAGACACGGCCCAGACUCCUACGGGAGGCAGCAGUGGGGAAGAUUGGACAAUGGACGAAAGUCUGACCGAGCCAUGCCGCGUGAGUGAAGAAGGUUUUCGGAUUGUAAAACACUGUCGUUAGAGAAGCGGUAUCUAAAGAGAAAGCCACGGCUAACUACGUGCCAGCAGCCGCGGUAAUUC